AAUAAAAAAUAUUUCGUUAUACUGAACAAAAUACAACCUCCAUAGAAAAAAUAAUUGUCUCCUUACUACCCAAGAAUAGUAUAAUUUGGAUAGAAAAAAAAAUAUGUGUAGUGGAUUUAAAUUUCCACUGUACCUUUUAAUAGCGAUAAAAAUGUCGUGUAAUAAUCUAUACAUUAUUUAAAUAAAGCAAUCCUAGAACACAAAAUACAUAAUCUUGAAACGUGUCUCCAAAAUGUUUCUAGUGUGUUAUUCGAAUUUGAUAUUACGGUAGAUUUUUGGUUUACUCGACUAGGCAACAUAUUCGACCAAUUUUAGGUGUGGCAACACCUUACGUAAACUGUCAAAUAUCACUUUUCACAUCACUAUUCAUUUUGUGGUCGCGAUAGUCAUCUGCAGUAAAUUUCUGGUUUUAGUGCGCAUGUUUCGGGCAUUUGUUUUGUGAUUUGUAUAAGAUGCCUACUCCGGCCGAAAAGCAAAAACAGUACAGGGAACGGCUAAAAUAUAUAAAUCCUCUAUGUUGUUAAUAGUAUGUGGAGCCCAGUUCAGUCGAACGUAAACCAUUAAUUUUAUUGUGAUGAUGACGUCAAACAAAGAUUAUUUUAGCUUUUCGAAUUAUUUUUUGUUAUUACUAAUGCAAAUGAAAAGUUUGCUUCCUAUUGUUAAUUAGUGGAUUUGAAUUUCGUACAAAUAAAAUAAAUAUAUAAAAUUGUAA
Cydia pomonella (codling moth) is the source of this 712-nucleotide long non-coding RNA. RefSeq lists it as uncharacterized. The transcript has 2 exons. The record is from RefSeq and is a predicted model, not a curated record. Lineage: Eukaryota; Metazoa; Arthropoda; Insecta; Lepidoptera; Tortricidae.